AGAACGAACGCUGGCGGCAGGCUUAACACAUGCAAGUCGAGCGCCCAGCAAUGGGAGCGGCGGACGGGUGAGUAACACGUGGGAACAUGCCUUUCGGUACGGAACAACUUCGGGAAACUGAAGCUAAUGCCGUAUGCGCCCUUACGGGGAAAGAUUUAUCGCCGAAAGAUUGGCCCGCGUCUGAUUAGCUAGUUGGUGAGGUAACGGCUCACCAAGGCUUCGAUCAGUAGCUGGUUUGAGAGAACGACCAGCCACACUGGGACUGAGACACGGCCCAGACUCCUACGGGAGGCAGCAGUGGGGAAUCUUGGACAAUGGGGGAAACCCUGAUCCAGCCAUGCCGCGUGAGUGAUGAAGGCCUUCGGGUUGUAAAACUCUUUUACCAGGAAGAUAAUGACUGUACCUGGAGAAGUAAGCCCCGGCUAACUACGCGCCAGCAGCCGC
This 444-nucleotide ribosomal RNA is filed under the name uncultured bacterium. RNAcentral describes it as "SSU rRNA". It matches the Rfam family "Bacterial small subunit ribosomal RNA", at positions 26 to 518 of the family's 1533-position model. The record is from RNAcentral.